CUAAAAGCGAUGAAGGUACAAGUACAUGACGUCCUUUUAUUAAGAGAGGAGAUUCCUUGGCUGGAAGAAUCUCCAUAAAAGUGUGAUGGAAAGCUAUACUGGAGCUCUGAGUUAAUCCUUAUCGGCUGCGCACCGUUAUCCGCGCCUAAAGGUGAUAGACCAUUUUCCGGUCUAUAAUCAGGGUGGUACCGCGAUCAUACUCUCGUCCCUGCA
This 213-nucleotide non-coding RNA is filed under the name Terribacillus aidingensis. Its description in RNAcentral is "T-box sequence". It matches the Rfam family "T-box leader". Rfam says of the family: Uncharged tRNA acts as the effector for transcription antitermination of genes in the T-box leader family. T-boxes are found upstream of many aminoacyl-tRNA synthetase genes and some amino acid biosynthetic genes usually in Gram-positive bacteria. The anticodon of a specific tRNA base pairs to a specifier sequence within the T-box motif, and the NCCA acceptor tail of the tRNA base pairs to a conserved bulge in the T-box antiterminator hairpin. The record is from RNAcentral. Lineage: Bacteria; Bacillati; Bacillota; Bacilli; Caryophanales; Bacillaceae.